RNAcentral lists this signal recognition particle RNA (148 nucleotides) under Pan paniscus (pygmy chimpanzee). RNAcentral's name for it is "Metazoan signal recognition particle RNA". It matches the Rfam family "Metazoan signal recognition particle RNA". Rfam says of the family: The signal recognition particle (SRP) is a universally conserved ribonucleoprotein. It is involved in the co-translational targeting of proteins to membranes. The eukaryotic SRP consists of a 300-nucleotide 7S RNA and six proteins: SRPs 72, 68, 54, 19, 14, and 9. Lineage: Eukaryota; Metazoa; Chordata; Mammalia; Primates; Hominidae. RNAcentral also lists the same sequence under 1 other name. The record is from Rfam by way of RNAcentral.
GCUGGGCAUGGUGGUGUGUGCCUGUGGUCCCAGCUACUGAGGAGGCUGAGGCAGGAGGAUCACUUGAGCCCAGGAGUUGGAGGCUGCAGUGAGCUGUGAUCAUGCCACUGCACUCCAGCCUGGGUGACACAGUGAGAUCUUGUCUCAA